CCUACGGGUGGCAGCAGUAGGGAAUAUUGCUCAAUGGAGGAAACCCUGAAGCAGCAACGCCGCGUGGAGGAUGAAGGUUUUCGGAUUGUAAACUUCUUUUGUUAGAGAAGAGAAUGACGGUAUCUAACGAAUAAGCACCGGCUAACUCCGUGCCAGCAGCCGCGGUAAUACGGAGGGUGCAAGCGUUACCCGGAAUCACUGGGCGUAAAGGGCGCGUAGGCGGGAUAGCAAGUCAGAUGUGAAAUCCUAUGGCUUAACCAUAGAACUGCAUUUGAAACUGUUAUUCUAGAGUAUGGGAGAGGUAGGUGGAAUUCUUGGUGUAGGGGUGAAAUCCGUAGAGAUCAAGAGGAAUACUCAUUGCGAAGGCGACCUGCUAGAACAUAACUGACGCUGAUGCGCGAAAGCGUGGGGAGCAAACAGGAUUAGAUACCCUUGUAGUC
Molecule: ribosomal RNA, 440 nt
Filed under: uncultured bacterium
Lineage: Bacteria
Description: partial 16S ribosomal RNA
Rfam family: Bacterial small subunit ribosomal RNA
Source: RNAcentral